This 667-nucleotide long non-coding RNA is filed under the name Setaria italica (foxtail millet). Its description in RNAcentral is "long non-coding RNA (SITA_LNC001807)". The record is from RNAcentral. Lineage: Eukaryota; Viridiplantae; Streptophyta; Magnoliopsida; Poales; Poaceae.
CAAACAUAAUGCAUGGUGUUGGCGGUGGCCAUGGGUACCCGCAUCAGGGAUACCCUCCUCAAGGCUACCCACCACCACCAGGGGCGUACCCGCCUCCCCCUGGAGCGUAUCCUCCUCCACCCGGGGCUUACCCCCCUCCACCCGGGGCAUACCCACCACAGCAUGGGUACCCUCAACCAGGUGGUUACCCGCCACACGGUGGCUAUCCCCCUGCUGGUUAUCCGGGCUCGUCUCACCAGGGUAUGAAUUGCUCUUCCAUUCUAUGCUUAGCUUUUAAAAGUACAGAGUCAUCAGAAUGGAUAGCAAUAGCAUUCCUACUGAACUCCAUCAAGUACUUGUGCUUUUUUUGUUUCCAAAUAAAAAAUGGUAUUGGCUCAUUACAUUGAGUUUUGGAUCUUGUGGAUUGCUUCUUGUUCCUAAUCAUGCUAUGCUGCAAGAAACAAUUAAGCUGAUCAGUAACGCAUCGACUUUGGUAUGAUGAAAUAGUUCUAGCUCUGUUGUGUUGGAUUGCGCUUUAUUCCUAAUUACAUAAUUGUUCUGUACUUGUCUCCAAAAGGUGCACCAACUUUGAUUUCAUUAUCUGACAAGCAGCUACCAUUGUGAUUUCAGAAAUCUGUAGUCCUAUUGCGUCAAAUCAGCCAAAUGGUGAAGCUCAUUUCAUGCUAAU